UAUUGAGUCGGGAAAAAUUGACUCCGAGCCCAUUUCCUGGAGGAAAGUCCGGGCUCCACAGGGCAGAGUGCCAGGUAACACCUGGGCGGCGUGAGUCGACGGAAAGUGCAGCAGAAAGUAUACCGCCUAAGUCCUUCGGGACCGGUAAGGGUGAAAUGGUGCGGUAAGAGCGCACCGCGUCGGUGGCAACACGCGACGGCGAUGGAAAACCCCACUCGGAGCAAGACCAAAUAGGGGAGCAAUGGCGCGGCCCGCGCUGCUCCCGGGUAGGUCGCUUGAGGUAUGCGGUGACGCAUAUCCCAGAUGAAUGAUUGUCCUCGACAGAACCCGGCUUAUCGGCCGACUCCA
Molecule: RNase P RNA, 348 nt
Filed under: marine eukaryotic metagenome
Description: Bacterial RNase P class A
Rfam family: Bacterial RNase P class A
About the family: Ribonuclease P (RNase P) is a ubiquitous endoribonuclease, found in archaea, bacteria and eukarya as well as chloroplasts and mitochondria. Its best characterised activity is the generation of mature 5'-ends of tRNAs by cleaving the 5'-leader elements of precursor-tRNAs. Cellular RNase Ps are ribonucleoproteins.
Source: RNAcentral